Molecule: ribosomal RNA, 303 nt
Filed under: uncultured bacterium
Lineage: Bacteria
Description: partial 16S ribosomal RNA
Rfam family: Bacterial small subunit ribosomal RNA
Source: RNAcentral
AGCAGCCGCCGCGGGAAUACGGAGGGUGCAAGCGUUAAUCGGAAUUACUGGGCGUAAAGCGCACGCAGGCGGUUUGUUAAGUCAGAUGUGAAAUCCCCGAGCUUAACUUGGGAACUGCAUUUGAAACUGGCAAGCUAGAGUCUUGUAGAGGGGGGUAGAAUUCCAGGUGUAGCGGUGAAAUGCGUAGAGAUCUGGAGGAAUACCGGUGGCGAAGGCGGCCCCCUGGACAAAGACUGACGCUCAGGUGCGAAAGCGUGGGGAGCAAACAGGAUUAGAUACCCCUGUAGUCCCUGUCUCUUAUAC